AACGCGAAGAACCUUACCUGGUCUUGACAUCCACAGAACUUUCCAGAGAUGGAUUGGUGCCUUCGGGAACUGUGAGACAGGUGCUGCAUGGCUGUCGUCAGSUCGUGUUGUGAAAUGUUGGGUUAAGUCCCGCAACGAGCGCAACCCUUAUCCUUUGUUGCCAGCGGUCCGGCCGGGAACUCAAAGGAGACUGCCAGUGAUAAACUGGAGGAAGGUGGGGAUGACGUCAAGUCAUCAUGGCCCUUACGACCAGGGCUACACACGUGCUACAAUGGCGCAUACAAAGAGAAGCGACCUCGCGAGAGCAAGCGGACCUCAUAAAGUGCGUCGUAGUCCGGAUUGGAGUCUGCAACUCGACUCCAUGAAGUCGGAAUCGCUAGUAAUCGUGGAUCAGAAUGCCACGGUGAAUACGUUCCCGGGUCUUGUACACACCG
This 434-nucleotide ribosomal RNA is filed under the name uncultured bacterium. RNAcentral's name for it is "bacterial SSU rRNA". It matches the Rfam family "Bacterial small subunit ribosomal RNA", at positions 958 to 1392 of the family's 1533-position model. The record is from RNAcentral.